RNAcentral lists this long non-coding RNA (1105 nucleotides) under Equus asinus (donkey). RNAcentral's name for it is "lncRNA (ENSEASG00005028328.1)". The record is from RNAcentral. Lineage: Eukaryota; Metazoa; Chordata; Mammalia; Perissodactyla; Equidae.
UACAAAUUAGCACAGUUGUUACUGGCUUUAUGUAAUUCACUCUCAAAAUUCUCAUGGAAAGUGUAGGGUAUCUGAUACUUAAUUUUAUUGAUAAGCAAACUGGUUCAGGUUGCUUUUGAUUUUGUUCAGAAACACCCCAAUAAGUGAAAAAGCUAAAAAUAGAUUCUAAUUCCAGAUACACUUAGUCCAGUAUUUCAUUUUCUAAAGUUUAUUCAGCAUUUGAUUGAUAAGCCCCAUUAAUAAAGGGGAAUAACAAAUUUAUAGUCUGAAUUUUUGUGUCCCCCAGAUUCAUGUGUUGAAAUCCUAUUGCCAAUUUGAUGGUCUCAGGAGGUGGGACCUUUGGGAGGUGGUUAGGACAUGAGAGUGGAACCCUCAUGAUGGAAUUAAUGUUCUUAUAAAAGAGACCCCACAGAGCUCCCUAGUCCCUUCCACCAUGUGAGGACACAGUGAGAAGUCACCAGCCAUGAAACAGGAAGAGAGCUUUCACCAGAACGCAACCAUGAUGGCACCUUGAUCUUGGACUUCCAGCCUCCAGAACUGAAGGAGACAUGUACAACCAUUUGGAAUUUCUUGGCUUUGACCUGUCAAGUCUCUGCAGUCUUCAAGGAUGGUUGCUGUAGUUACGCCUACCAUCAUAUUCUCCAGUCGUACUUCUACAAUGUAAGCUUCUCUGAGACCACUUUUCAACCACAAUCUAUUACUGAUCUUCUGGUAACCUGCAUGCCUUGUAGCGCAAUUAAGUAUCAUUGUCAACCCCAUUUCCUGGAUGAAGUAACAAGAGAAUUUAAAGGAUUCAGUGGCUUGUCUAAAUCUAUGGAGGUAACAAGCAGUGGACCAAGGAUUCACCCAUGAAGAUAAAAGGGAGGCAGAGGAAGAUUUGAUACACAAAGAAGAGGAGGAGGUAAUGUGAUCACAAAGGCAGGCUGGAGGGAUGCAGCCACAAGCCAAGGAAUGCUGGCUGCCACCAAAAGCUGGAAGAGGCAAGGCCCAGAUUCUCCCUUACAGCCUGCAGAAGGAACACGGCCCUACUGACUCCCUGAUUUAGGCCCAGUGACACGGAUUGUGGACUUCUGUCCUCUCUAGGACAGUGAGAAGGUAAAUUUCU